UAACUUUAACAAACUAUUUAUUCUUUUUCAUGGAAAGGGUUUUGAAGUUGUGGCGUGUGCGCUACAAACAAAAUUGAAUUGGGAGAUGGAGAUUGGAAUCGCCUUCGAAGCACCCCGCUUAAACCACUGCUAAAUCCUUACUUCCCGACGGAUGAUUUCUCUGCAAACGCUUUGACAAGCAAUCCCAGUCGAUUGUUUUCAACUCUCAAUCGCGGAAUCCUGGUGGGUUUUUAUUUUGAUUUUGAUUUUGAUUUUGAUUUUGAUCUUGAUCACUGCAAGAUGCCUUCGUCUUCUCUGUUUUUCGGAGUCCCGGAAAUGGUUGUCAAGAAUCGUUUUCUGGGUUUCCUUAUUUGGCAGUCCAUUCCUUCAACCUUCGUCUUUUUCCUCUUCAAAAUCUUCGUUUCAGCCAUUUUCUCUGUUUCUGGUAGCAAUUCCUCGAGUGGAACUAGCAAUCCAUCAGCCCCUUUUGCGUCAAUGUUCACUGGAUUCUUCACUUUUCUUACAUUUCAUCUCUCUCAACUCCUCUUCUCUGCAUCUCUCUCUCUCCUUGCUUCGCCCCAGCUCGAGCGCCCUGCCGCGCCGCUUGAGCUCACUUUUGGACUCGUUCGGUUUCUCGUAGUUUCAGGCGGUGACAAUGCUUCAUCGACGUCGGCGUUCAAUGACUUUCGCCGUCGUGCUACGGUUUCGUUAUAUUUGCUUCUGUUUGUAGUGGCAACUGCGAUUUCAGGUUCCUUGGCGGCCGUCUCUAUAUGUUGGGGAAAAUCGGAUGGUCUCAGAAGUGCUUGGCAUACGGGUCUUUCGAUGGGUCUGAUUUAUGGCGCUUUCUACGUUUACAGCAAAAGAUGGGUUCUAACGUUCCCAAUCAUACAGCGUCCCCCAUUUUUCAGCUUCAAGAUGGGUUUUCCUGCAGCUACCAGAUUGGCUUCCAAACUUUCUGCUGCAGCUUUCCUAUUUUCAGCUGUAUUAAUGGUGCUUUUGCCUGAUCAAUUUAAGAGAAAUGUUACAGUCAGGAAGUUCAUAGCUAACCAAGCCAUUAUUUUCGUUGGGAGCUUUGCAAUAUUUCUUUCUUGGGAAUUGACUCAACACUUGCAUCAGGUCCUGCAUACCAAGAGGUAUGCGUUUGCACCUCCAAAGGGAUCUGCAGCAGCAGAAACAAAUCCCAGUGAGUACCUCUUUGCAGCUUUAGAGGACAGCAAUUCAGGGUCUCUUUUGCAAUAUCUUGCAUUUCUAGAUCUCUGCAUGGUUUGUGAGAACAAUGUGGAUAUAUGGAGGAGAGCUGCAUUUUUUGAAGAAACAGGUGAGACAUAUAAGCGAAUUAUAUCCAUUUCCUUGAAGCCUUUGGAGCAAUUUGCACUGAACUUAGGCCAAGGUUUGGAAGGUGCUGUGGACAUUACCUCCCAACUAUCGCCAAAGGACUCUCACUUCGACGUAAAACAAUUCGAAACUCUUAAAAACUUUCAGUUGUAUGCAUGGUGUGCUCGAACGGUAUCUAUGUUGACUGCACGCUCACAUGCAGAAGAUCGAUUCGGUGUUGCUCAACUCUCUGGUAGUAAUGCAACUGUUAUGUCAACACUGUUGUCUUGCCUGCUUGCUGUUGAAGUGUUGAUGGGUAAGAAAACGACUAUACAGUCUUCAAACGGUUUAUUCGGCCUGUCUAGUAUUAAAUGGGCAACGUCAAGUAUUGGAAGAGUAGAUGCUUCGGUUGGUAAAAGGAAAAGUGGUCCGCUACAUUCGAAGGCAUAUGCUAUUGCGAACGUAUUGAGGGUGUCGAUCUAUGUCGUCGUUUCUGCAUUCCAUAACGAGAUGGUGAAUAGUGCCAAGUCCGGUGUUCUUGAGAAAGAUUGGAUCACUGGUGAAAAGCCCCUUUAUGGUACUCGUGAGUUGCUUCUUCAGAAAUUGCAUAUUUUCUUGGACUUUCAAGCUUAGAUAGAAUGGCGAUUUCAUUUUCCCCGUCUCCGCCCCGUUCGUCGAAUUAUAGCGAAUCACUUGUGAGGCAGUUUUGUUGUCUUUGAUUCUGAAGAGUUAACUAAGCUGCCUGUAAACUUCUAAGAAGAAAGUGUCUUCCAGAUUGCAUUUUUGCGCCACAUUUUCCAGCAGACCAGCUUCAGAAAUUCC
Molecule: RNA transcript, 2115 nt
Organism: Cucurbita moschata (crookneck pumpkin)
Lineage: Eukaryota; Viridiplantae; Streptophyta; Magnoliopsida; Cucurbitales; Cucurbitaceae
Exons: 5
Source: RefSeq, a predicted model, not a curated record